UUUCCGUAGGUGAACCUGCGGAAGGAUCAUUAUUGUAUAACCGGGGUGCGAGAGCUGUCGCUACGCCGCAAGGUCGUGCACGCCCGAGUGCCCUCACCCCCCUCCAUCUCACCCCUAUGUGCGCCACGGCGUGGGUCCCCCUUUGGCUUGUUCGGUGGCGGGCUUACGUUUUCACACAAGCUUUGUACGCAGUGUAGAAUGUAUGUUUUGUUUUUGCGAUCACGCAAUCAAUACACCUUUCAACAGCGGAUCACUUGUCUCUACCACCGUUAAAGAACGGACAUCGCUUUCCCGAGGGGAACCGGAGGAGGAAGUAAUAUUCUUUACACGGGGUCCGUGGGCUGACCAGCAGCGGAAUCGUCGCAGACUCCCAAGUCCCCUAACCCACCGCCAUCGCUCCCCUUUGUGCGCCUUCGCGGGGGUCCCCCUUUGGCUUGUUCGGAGGGGGGCUUACGUUUUCACACAAACCUUGCACGUAGUGUAUAAUGUAUUCUUUGUUUUUGCGAUCCCGCAAUCAAUACAACUUUCAACAACGGAUCUCUUGGCUCUC
Molecule: unclassified non-coding RNA, 550 nt
Filed under: plant metagenome
Description: partial contains small subunit ribosomal RNA, internal transcribed spacer 1, and 5.8S ribosomal RNA
Source: RNAcentral